AUUGAACGCUGGCGGCGUGCCUUACACAUGCAAGUCGAACGGAAGGACGCUUGCUUGCACGUGGUGGCGAGUGGCGAACGGGUGAGUAAUACAUGGGUACCUGUCCUGUGGUGGGGGAAAGCCUGGCGAAAGCUGGAUUAAUUCCGCCUACGAUCUACGGACGAAAGCGUGGGACCUUGCGCCUUCGCGCUCUGGGGUUGGCCGAUGGCCGUUGAGCUAGUUGGUGGGGUAAAGGCCUUCCACGGCGACGAUCAGUAGCUGGUCUGAGAGUACGACCAGCCACACUGGGACUGAGACACGGCCAAUACGCCUACGGGAGGCAGCAGUGGGGAACGUUGGACAGUGGGCGAAAGCAUGAUCCAGCAAUGCCGCGUGUGUGAAGAAGGCCUUCGGGGUGUAAAGCACGUUUGUCCGGAAAGAAAUCCUUGGCCCUAAUACGGUCGGGGGAUGACGGUACCGGAAGAAUAAGCACCGGCUAACUACGUG
This 486-nucleotide ribosomal RNA is filed under the name uncultured bacterium. RNAcentral describes it as "partial 16S ribosomal RNA". It matches the Rfam family "Bacterial small subunit ribosomal RNA", at positions 28 to 507 of the family's 1533-position model. The record is from RNAcentral.